Molecule: unclassified non-coding RNA, 283 nt
Filed under: root metagenome
Description: partial contains small subunit ribosomal RNA, internal transcribed spacer 1, and 5.8S ribosomal RNA
Source: RNAcentral
UUUCCGUAGGUGAACCUGCAGAAGGAUCAUUGUCGUGACUCUGACCAAAACAAACCGCGCACGCAUCCUCCAAUCCUCCGGCGACGACAUCGUCCGUCACUCGGCCAAUUCCUCGACCACCUCCCCUCAUCGGAGUGGGGGCUCAGGGUAAAAGAACCCAUGGCGCCGAAGGCAUCAAGGAACACUGUAUAUAACCCGGGGGCGUGGCUAGCUUGCUGGCCAUCCCCUAUGUUGCAAAGCUAUUUAAGCCACACGACUCUCAGCAAUGGAUAUCUCGGCUCUC